RNAcentral lists this long non-coding RNA (1781 nucleotides) under Mus musculus (house mouse). Its description in RNAcentral is "long non-coding RNA chrX:158741917-158743698". The record is from RNAcentral. Lineage: Eukaryota; Metazoa; Chordata; Mammalia; Rodentia; Muridae.
AAGUUAAGGUUCCUGGUUUGGGGACAAGUUAAGGAACUAUGAUAACCUCAGCGUAGUGAUCAAUAGAUCCUCGCUGUGUAGUUAUGUUUUUUUCUCCCAUUGACCCUUUGUGGGUAGGUCUGAUAGUUUUGGUCUUGUUUGUUCUGAUAUAUGGACUCUGUUACUGUUUGAAACUGUGUGUAGAGGCAGUCAAGACAGGUCAGAAAAUCCUUACAGAGCAACAAGAAAGUAUGUCAGAAGAAGAGAAGGGCUUAAAAAGAAAAAGGAAAAAGAAAGAAGACACAGUGUUAUCAGGUGGACAGAAAGGACAAAAUAAAAGAGCCGAGGCGGAGGAGGAAGGCGAAUUAGCUUCUGUGCCUCCUCCCUAUGCCUCCUCAGCAGUGAAAACUUGACUUUCAUAUUGACUUCCCAGAUGGACACACAGGUGAUUGAGGUUAUGGUCUCAUUACCACGAGGUAUUGUGUCCAUCUCCCCUGGGGAUCGACCAGAUCAGGUGUUGAUGUGGGCGAGAGGGUCUGUUUGUGUGUUUCCACAGGACCAGACGGAACCUCUUUGGGUGCCGGAGAGAUUGGUGAGACGCUGCAAGAAUGAGGCUCCUGAUCCAGUUGCCCCUGUGGAUGUGGUGGAUGAUCCCACAAGCACAAAGGAUGGAGCCGAGAUGAGAGAUCCUUUCGGUAUUCCAGAAGCCGAUACCAGCUCGACAUGACAUUCAAAUUUUUCCAUGCUUUUUGAUCCCUGAAUUCCCCUUAAAGAGAUAGCCCCUCUGGCUAUCUGUCCCUUGCUUCAGGGAAGAUGAGCGGGGAUGAGAGCCCUGGGAUGUAUGCUUGUUAUAGUGUGUGUGUGUUUUGUGUUUGGCACAUGUGUUAGGUGCAGAGUGUGCGGCCCGCACUUUUGCCAUGGUAGCGUAGGCUUUUGCUGCAGUGGAGGCGGGACAAUCUCCUCAGAUUCGGUUUGCCGCUCUAAAAGAAAUUAUGCUGCGUUAUGCCAUGGGGUGCGAGGCUAAGCACUGCACAGAGGAUAGCUUGCUGUUGGCAUCCUGUGGAAGGCACGUCUGAUUGCAUGAAGGUUCAGUGUCCUAGUUCCCUUCCCCUAGGAAAAACGACACGGGAGCUGGCCAAGACCUCUCUGGGUGAUGAGCCUAAGGGAUGGUUUUGUGUAGGGCCCCUAUGCUUGCACACUGGGGAUCAGACCUCUACCUUCACCCAUGAGGCUUGCUUGCAGCAAUUAAGAUCUGGCCAUAGGUUAAUUAACAUCCUGGCCUUUUGAUGCACCUGCCACAAGCAAAACAAAAUCUCCCCAGGAGUGGCUUGGCAUGAUUGAGAGGUAGUCAGUGAUAAGACUCCCUGGGCAUGUCACCAACCUAAGACAGGGAUCAAACCAAUGCUGUUUGUCACCCAAGGACGGGUAAGGGGCAUGGCUGCGGGGGGCUAUCUACAGACAUUCUCUCUGCCAAAAAAGAAAAAAGGGGGAAUUGUGGGGAGCGGGUGUGGCGGCAGUCCCAAAGGCGCCAGGGACUGCAGCUAAGUCAUAUGACUUGCACCUGACUUCCUCAUAUAAGACACAAACAUCUUGAGUGCUGCGCAGGUGUACCAGGAUACAGAUGAAUCCAAUUUGGUGGAGAUUUGCCCUUGCUGCCCUGAUUAGCUGAAGCCUCGUGACUGGCGAGGGGGCGUGGCCUGCAGUGCGUGGAUGAGAGAGAGUAUAAAAGGAGUGAGAGGCCCAGGGUUUGGGGGAGAUAUAAACAAGAAGAAUCAGGACUGAAUAAACUGCUGUUAGAAGGA